UGGCUCUCGCAUCGAUGAAGAACGCAGCGAAAUGCGAUAAGUAAUGUGAAUUGCAGAAUUCAGUGAAUCAUCAAAUCUUUGAACGCACCUUGCGCCCUUUGGUAUUCCGAAGGGCAUGCCUGUUUGAGUGUCAUUAAAUUAUCAACUCUGUCAGCUUGCAGAGCUUGGACUUGGAGCGUGCUGGGCUCUUGUAGCUCAGCUCCUCUUGAAAUGCAUAUGCGGAACUUUUGAUUGCUGAGCGGCUCCGGCGUGAUAAUUAUCUACGUUGCGGCAGCGAAGCAGACGGAUCCGCCUACAGCUGUUGCAUCCCUGCAACAGGGGGUCCGCCCCCUAACGAUGACAAUUUGACCUCAAAUCAGGUAGGACUACCCGCUGA
This 376-nucleotide unclassified non-coding RNA is filed under the name uncultured fungus. Its description in RNAcentral is "partial contains 5.8S ribosomal RNA and internal transcribed spacer 2". The stretch from base 1 to 133 matches the Rfam family "5.8S ribosomal RNA", at positions 22 to 154 of the family's 154-position model. The record is from RNAcentral. Lineage: Eukaryota; Fungi.